This is an RNA transcript of Beta vulgaris subsp. vulgaris (sugar beet), 275 nucleotides long. RefSeq lists it as uncharacterized. NCBI's taxonomy places the organism in Eukaryota, Viridiplantae, Streptophyta, Magnoliopsida, Caryophyllales, Amaranthaceae. The transcript has 2 exons. The record is from RefSeq and is a predicted model, not a curated record.
GAAUUCAUGUUAUAUUUUCGAGUGUUUUGCAUAAUAAAAAUCUUAAACUAUAGGCGAGUAACACUCCAAAAGACGCUCAGGUGAAGGUGACGGUGCCGGUGCAGGUGCAGGUGCCGGUGCCCAACUCAUACGCAAAUUCAAUUCCUUUAGAACCACUCGAACCUCUCAUAAGUCAUACGCAAAUUCGUCACUCAUACGCUAAUUGCCUAAUUCCAAAGCUCGAAUUGCAGAAGCUCGUUCCAGCAUUUGGUACAGUAUUAUUCACAGGGUCAAGA